Molecule: ribosomal RNA, 528 nt
Filed under: Cassidinopsis admirabilis
Lineage: Eukaryota; Metazoa; Arthropoda; Malacostraca; Isopoda; Sphaeromatidae
Description: partial 16S ribosomal RNA
Rfam family: Bacterial large subunit ribosomal RNA
Source: RNAcentral
UCGCCUGUUUUUCAAAAACAUCGCUCUUAAUCAUUAAUAGUAGAAUCUGCCCGGUGACUUUAAACGGCCGCAGUACUUUAACUGUGCAAAGGUAGCAUAAUCACUUGUCUCCUAAUUAGAGGCUAGCAUGAACGAUCUGACGUAGGGCUUCCUGUCUCACUGGUUCAGUUAACUUACACUUGAGGUAAAAAUGCCUCACUCCUUCAAAAAGACGACAAGACCCUAUAAAAUUUUAUCUCUCUUUCCGAGCCCACAUCCAAGUCCUCUAAGACUCUAAGUGGGAUUUAACUGGGGCGGUUAAUUUUAUCUGAAACAAAACUCAAUCUGACACAGUGAGUGGCUCUUGUGAACAUCCUAAUAAAGAACAAAUUACUUUAGGGAUAACAGCAUAAUAGUCUUCAAGAGAUCAUAUCGACAAGACUGAUUAUGACCUCGAUGUUGAAUUGAAGUUCCAAAACAGAGCAGCCACUGUUUAAGGGAAGUCUGUUCGACUUUUGAUCCUUUACAUGAUUUGAGUCCAAAACCGGA